This 500-nucleotide ribosomal RNA is filed under the name uncultured Sphingobacteriales bacterium. RNAcentral's name for it is "bacterial SSU rRNA". It matches the Rfam family "Bacterial small subunit ribosomal RNA", at positions 903 to 1382 of the family's 1533-position model. Lineage: Bacteria; Pseudomonadati; Bacteroidota; Sphingobacteriia; Sphingobacteriales. The record is from RNAcentral.
CCUUGCCAGCCCGCUCAGAAACUCAAAGGAAUUGACGGGGCCCGCACAAGCGGUGGAGCAUGUGGUUUAAUUCGAUGAUACGCGAGGAACCUUACCUGGGCUCAAAUGUAUGUUGACGUAUUCUGAAAGGGAUACUUCUUCGGACAAUAUACAAGGUGCUGCAUGGUUGUCGUCAGCUCGUGCCGUGAGGUGUCGGGUUAAGUCCCAUAACGAGCGCAACCCCUAUCAUUAGUUGCCAUCAGGUCAAGCUGGGGACUCUAAUGAAACUGCCUACGCAAGUAGUGAGGAAGGUGGGGAUGACGUCAAAUCAGCACGGCCCUUACGUCCAGGGCUACACACGUGCUACAAUGGCCGGUACAAAGGGCAGCUACCUGGUGACAGGAUGCUAAUCUCAAAAGCCGGUCUCAGUUCGGAUCGGAGUCUGCAACCCGACUCCGUGAAGCUGGAAUCGCUAGUAACCGCAGAUCAGCUACGUUGCGGUGAAUACGUUCCCGGGCCUU